GUCCUUUUAGUGGCCCCCGUCAAUGUGAGCUGUUCUUGAGUUGCAGUACUCCAUGUCUUGGCCAUUGGGCCGAGUUCUUUCCAUGAGAGAUCUGGAGACUUGGUGAAAGAGGUAUGAGGAACAGCCACCGCCCAAUGGUGAUAUAAAUGUGAUACCUCCAUAGGCAGGUAGACUAAGAUAACAAUGUUUCCUUUGGAGUCACAGAGUGAUGUGUAUUUCCACCAGGCUGAAUAAUUCUUCUUCAUAGUAUGGGUCAGGCCCUGGGGUGUU
This is a non-coding RNA of Pelobates cultripes (western spadefoot toad), 270 nucleotides long. Lineage: Eukaryota; Metazoa; Chordata; Amphibia; Anura; Pelobatidae. The record is from the annotation of a GenBank genome assembly.